Molecule: non-coding RNA, 26 nt
Filed under: Cricetulus griseus (Chinese hamster)
Lineage: Eukaryota; Metazoa; Chordata; Mammalia; Rodentia; Cricetidae
Source: RNAcentral
UAGGGAGUGGAUUGGAAAAUAAUGUG